ACUCCUACGGGUGGCUGCAGUGAGGAAUAUUGGACAAUGGGCGAAAGCCUGAUCCAGCCAUGCCGCGUGUGUGAAGAAGGCCUUUUGGUUGUAAAGCACUUUAAGUGGGGAGGAAAAGCUUAUGGUUAAUACCCAUAAGCCCUGACGUUACCCACAGAAUAAGCACCGGCUAACUCUGUGCCAGCAGCCGCGGUAAUACAGAGGGUGCAAGCGUUAAUCGGAAUUACUGGGCGUAAAGCGCGCGUAGGUGGUUAUUUAAGUCAGAUGUGAAAGCCCCGGGCUUAACCUGGGAACUGCAUCUGAUACUGGAUAACUAGAGUAGGUGAGAGGGGAGUAGAAUUCCAGGUGUAGCGGUGAAAUGCGUAGAGAUCUGGAGGAAUACCGAUGGCGAAGGCAGCUCCCUGGCAUCAUACUGACACUGAGGUGCGAAAGCGUGGGUAGCAAACAGGAUUAGAUACCCUGGUAGUCCACGCCGUAAACGAUGUCUACCAGUCGUUGGGUCUUUUAAAGACUUAGUGACGCAGUUAACGCAAUAAGUAGACCGCCUGGGGAGUACGGCCGCAAGGUUAAAACUCAAAUGAAUUGACGGGGGCCCGCACAAGCGGUGGAGCAUGUGGUUUAAUUCGAUGCAACGCGAAGAACCUUACCUGGUCUUGACAUAGUGAGAAUCUUGCAGAGAUGCAAGGGUGCCUUCGGGAAUUCACAUACAGGUGAUGCAUGGCUGUCGUCAGCUGU
RNAcentral lists this ribosomal RNA (735 nucleotides) under uncultured bacterium. Its description in RNAcentral is "bacterial SSU rRNA". It matches the Rfam family "Bacterial small subunit ribosomal RNA", at positions 335 to 1062 of the family's 1533-position model. The record is from RNAcentral.